UAGGGAAUCUUCGGCAAUGGGGGCAACCCUGACCGAGCAACGCCGCGUGAGUGAAGAAGGCCUUCGGAUCGUAAAACUCUGUUGUUAGAGAAGAACACGAGUGAGAGUAACUGUUCAUUCGAUGACGGUAUCUAACCAGCAAGUCACGGCUAACUACGUGUCAG
This 164-nucleotide ribosomal RNA is filed under the name uncultured bacterium. RNAcentral describes it as "partial 16S rRNA". It matches the Rfam family "Bacterial small subunit ribosomal RNA", at positions 355 to 511 of the family's 1533-position model. The record is from RNAcentral.